Molecule: ribosomal RNA, 301 nt
Filed under: uncultured bacterium
Lineage: Bacteria
Description: partial 16S ribosomal RNA
Rfam family: Bacterial small subunit ribosomal RNA
Source: RNAcentral
CAGUCGCCGCGGUAAUACGGAGGAUCCAAGCGUUAUCCGGAAUCAUUGGGUUUAAAGGGUCCGUAGGCGGUCUUGUAAGUCAGUGGUGAAAGCCCAUCGCUCAACGGUGGAACGGCCAUUGAUACUGCAGGACUUGAAUUAUUGGGAAGUAACUAGAAUAUGUAGUGUAGCGGUGAAAUGCUUAGAGAUUACAUGGAAUACCAAUUGCGAAGGCAGGUUACUACCAAUUGAUUGACGCUGAUGGACGAAAGCGUGGGUAGCGAACAGGAUUAGAUACCCUGGUAGUCCCUGUCUCUUAUAC